RNAcentral lists this non-coding RNA (108 nucleotides) under Escherichia coli. RNAcentral describes it as "antisense sRNA RprA". It matches the Rfam family "RprA RNA". Rfam says of the family: Translational regulation of the stationary phase sigma factor RpoS is mediated by the formation of a double-stranded RNA stem-loop structure in the upstream region of the rpoS messenger RNA, occluding the translation initiation site. The record is from RNAcentral. Lineage: Bacteria; Pseudomonadati; Pseudomonadota; Gammaproteobacteria; Enterobacterales; Enterobacteriaceae.
ACGGUUAUAAAUUAACAUAUUGAUUUAUAAGCAUGGAAAUCCCCUGAGUGAAACAACGAAUUGCUGUGUGUAGUCUUUGCCCAUCUCCCACGAUGGGCUUUUUUUUAA